GUCCCUGCAGCGCAAUGGAUACCGUGCUGAACUUCUAAUCCAAAGGUCGUGGGUUCGAUUCCCACUUGGGAUU
Molecule: non-coding RNA, 73 nt
Organism: Trichonephila clavipes
Lineage: Eukaryota; Metazoa; Arthropoda; Arachnida; Araneae; Nephilidae
Source: the annotation of a GenBank genome assembly